Molecule: long non-coding RNA, 327 nt
Organism: Lynx canadensis (Canada lynx)
Lineage: Eukaryota; Metazoa; Chordata; Mammalia; Carnivora; Felidae
Exons: 3
Source: RefSeq, a predicted model, not a curated record
CUUCUUUCCUGCAUCAGAUAUUUCUUGAAGUAUGGAGUGGGUGCCAUGAUCUUAACUCUCAAUACUCUAUUCCAGUGCUACUAACAAGUUUCCUGAUGUGACAUUCAAGGGAACAAAGUCUAUACCAGUGACCCCAGGAGAUUCCACAAAAGGGAGAAGAGACCUUAUGAAGAUGCGAGCACAAUUGCCCUAACUGACCUCUGACUUCUUGUCCGAGGAGGAUAACCAUAUCCGAAGUUGAUCUCAGUGAUUUUACAGGGACAUGUCUUCAAGUGGGUGGAGGGGAGAGUCUCUGUCAUCCUGCUCUGCUAGUCAGUGACUCAGUGG